This 474-nucleotide ribosomal RNA is filed under the name uncultured organism. RNAcentral's name for it is "partial 16S ribosomal RNA". It matches the Rfam family "Bacterial small subunit ribosomal RNA", at positions 332 to 797 of the family's 1533-position model. The record is from RNAcentral.
UACACUCCUACGGGAGGCAGCAGUGGGGAAUUUUGGACAAUGGGCGAAAGCCUGAUCCAGCAAUGCCGCGUGCAGGAUGAAGGCCUUCGGGUUGUAAACUGCUUUUGUACGGAACGAAAAAGCUCCUUCUAAUACAGGGGGCCCAUGACGGUACCGUAAGAAUAAGCACCGGCUAACUACGUGCCAGCAGCCGCGGUAAUACGUAGGGUGCGAGCGUUAAUCGGAAUUACUGGGCGUAAAGCGUGCGCAGGCGGUUAUGUAAGACAGAUGUGAAAUCCCCGGGCUCAACCUGGGAACUGCAUUUGUGACUGCAUGGCUAGAGUACGGUAGAGGGGGAUGGAAUUCCGCGUGUAGCAGUGAAAUGCGUAGAUAUGCGGAGGAACACCGAUGGCGAAGGCAAUCCCCUGGACCUGUACUGACGCUCAUGCACGAAAGCGUGGGGAGCAAACAGGAUUAGAAACCCCUGUAGUCCCA